UGUGUACAUAUAUAUUGUUUCAUACAUUACUAAAAAGUUUCUUUCCGAUGAUAAAUUCUACAGGUUGAGGCGGCAGGAGAAUCCAAAUUAGUGACAGAGAUGGAAGUUGAAAUACCUGAGAAGACCCACAGUGAUCCCCCGUCACCAUUUCAAGUAGUUAACAAUGUAAGCUAACUCUUGCAACAAAUAAAAUGUACUAUUUACUGUUCAAAUGUAUAAAAUUUAUAUUAUGCAGGUCAUACGGGAGUUGGAUACCAAAGCCGUUGGUGAUUUGGCUGCAGCUACUGAUGUGGAGGUAACAAUUUGUGUGUUUUAAUUCCUAUUUUCGAAAUAGCAUGCAUAGGAUUAUAUGUGUACAUUAUAUAGACUUGUGUACGUUAACUUGGACAGGUAGUCAUGGAAGAGCCGGGUAUUGUCGAGGGGUCUGUAGGAACUGAGGAUCCUAACCCAGGGUCAGAUGAAGCAGACAAGACCGAUAUUCCUAAAAAUAAUGUAUGUACCUAUUUUAA
Molecule: small RNA, 509 nt
Filed under: Arabidopsis thaliana (thale cress)
Lineage: Eukaryota; Viridiplantae; Streptophyta; Magnoliopsida; Brassicales; Brassicaceae
Description: ATSL196450
Source: RNAcentral